GACGAACGCUGGCGGCGUGCUUAACACAUGCAAGUCGAACGGAAAGGCCCUGCUUUUGUGGGGUGCUCGAGUGGCGAACGGGUGAGUAACACUUGAGUAACCUGCCCUUGACUUUGGGAUAACUUCAGGAAACUGGGGCUAAUACCGGAUAGGAGCUCCUGCUGCAUGGUGGGGGUUGGAAAGUUUCGGCGGUUGGGGAUGGACUCGCGGCUUAUCAGCUUGUUGGUGGGGUAGUGACUUACCAAGGCUUUGACGGGUAGCCGGCCUGAGAGGGUGACCGGCCACAUAGGGACUGAGAGACAGCCCAGACUCAGACGGGAGGUAGCAGUGGGGAAUAAUGAACGAAGGGCGGAAGCAGGAUGCAGCAACGAAGCGUGCGGGAUGACGGCCUUCGGGUUGUAAACCGCUUUCGCCUGUGACGAAGCGUGAGUGACGGUAAUGGGUAAAGAAGCACCGGCUAACUACGU
This 467-nucleotide ribosomal RNA is filed under the name uncultured bacterium. Its description in RNAcentral is "partial 16S ribosomal RNA". It matches the Rfam family "Bacterial small subunit ribosomal RNA", at positions 28 to 506 of the family's 1533-position model. The record is from RNAcentral.